UGGAGCUUUCUGUUUGUAGCUUCAGCUGUGUAAGGAUUAUGGGAAGUGGAUCUCUUUGCUUUAAUGGUAAGUUUGUGACAGAGAACGAAAUUUCAUGUUUGGAUAGCUUGUUAGAUUGAAGUUAUACUGGAGUCUGCUUUUUAUUCUUCCUUUGUUGCAUGAGACUAGCUAAUCCUUAUGAUACAGAAGUACCCUGAAAGAAACCAUGAUCUGAUGGCCGAUAUCUGUGAAGACAUGUAACAUUGGAGUAAUUUUUCUGUUGGCUGAGAUGAAAACAAGGUAUUGUGACAUAAAUCAGAGGUGAUCGAUCCCUACCCUAUCAAACCCUUGAUCUGACAACUGGAAAUAAAUCUGUUGGUUGACACUGAGACGAUCCAGAGAGCUUACUUAAGUUGAUUAUCUGAUGUCCUUCUUCAUUGCCUUUUGCCUUGUGUUUCUCCUUAAAGUGUGGAAAAUUCUCACAGAAUCCUGUGACAUUCUAAUCUGCAGUAUGAGCUAUAGAAAAAGCUAUUUCUGGAGUUUAUUACUGAUGUUAUUUGGGGCAAUCUGA
Molecule: long non-coding RNA, 550 nt
Filed under: Anser brachyrhynchus (Pink-footed goose)
Lineage: Eukaryota; Metazoa; Chordata; Aves; Anseriformes; Anatidae
Description: lncRNA (ENSABRG00000009928.1)
Source: RNAcentral